CCUACGGGUGGCUGCAGUGGGGAAUAUUGGACAAUGGGCGAAAGCCUGAUCCAGCCAUGCCGCGUGUGUGAAGAAGGCCUUCGGGUUGUAAAGCACUUUCAGUGGGGAAGAAAGCCUUGGGGCUAAUACCCUCGAGGAAGGACAUCACCCACAGAAGAAGCACCGGCUAACUCCGUGCCAGCAGCCGCGGUAAUACGGAGGGUGCGAGCGUUAAUCGGAAUUACUGGGCGUAAAGCGCGCGUAGGCGGUCUGAUAAGCCGGUUGUGAAAGCCCCGGGCUCAACCUGGGAACGGCAUCCGGAACUGUCAGGCUAGAGUGCAGGAGAGGAAGGUAGAAUUCCCGGUGUAGCGGUGAAAUGCGUAGAGAUCGGGAGGAAUACCAGUGGCGAAGGCGGCCUUCUGGACUGACACUGACGCUGAGGCGCGAAAGCGUGGGUAGCAAACAGGAUUAGAACCCGGGUAGUC
This 464-nucleotide ribosomal RNA is filed under the name Vreelandella stevensii. Its description in RNAcentral is "partial 16S ribosomal RNA". It matches the Rfam family "Bacterial small subunit ribosomal RNA", at positions 338 to 795 of the family's 1533-position model. Lineage: Bacteria; Pseudomonadati; Pseudomonadota; Gammaproteobacteria; Oceanospirillales; Halomonadaceae. The record is from RNAcentral.